Molecule: ribosomal RNA, 459 nt
Filed under: uncultured bacterium
Lineage: Bacteria
Description: partial 16S ribosomal RNA
Rfam family: Bacterial small subunit ribosomal RNA
Source: RNAcentral
CCUACGGGUGGCAGCAGUGAGGAAUAUUGGUCAAUGGGCGGGAGCCUGAACCAGCCAAGUCGCGUGAAGGAAGAAGGUACUUAGUAUUGUAAACUUCUUUUGUCGGGGAACAAAGGCGGAGACGCGUCUCCGGAUGAGUGUACCCGAAGAAAAAGCAUCGGCUAACUCCGUGCCAGCAGCCGCGGUAAUACGGAGGAUGCGAGCGUUACCCGGCUGUAUUGGGUUUAAAGGGUGCGUAGGCGGAUUUUUAAGUCAGCGGUACAAUGUCCGGGCUCAACCCGGGCCGGCCGUUGAAACUGGGGAUGUUGAGUGGGCGAGAAGUAUGCGGAAUGCGUGGGGUAGCGGUGAAAUGCAUAGAUAUCACGCAGAACUCCGAUUGCGAAGGCAGCAUACCGGCGCCCGACUGACGCUGAGGCACGAAAGCGUGGGGAUCGAACAGGAUUAGAUACCCUGGUAGUC